AGGGAACGUGAGCUGGGUUUAGACCGUCGUGAGACAGGUUAGUUUUAUCCUACUGAUGAGUUGUUCAUCGCUACAGUAAUUGAGGUUAGUACGAGAGGAACCCCUGAUUCACGCAAUUGGUAAUGGGGUUGCUUGAACAGGCAAUGCCCCGACGCUAUCACGUGUUGGUUUAGGGCUGAACGCCUCUAAGUCCGAAACCAUGCUGGAUGCGCGAUGAAAGUUUAAAGAUGGUGUGCGUUGGUGCAGCGAGCUGUUGUAUGGAUUGGAAUGCCGGUAUGAGGGGCGGCUGUUAAAGGCCGCCUUGUGGAUGACAAUUGCAAACAUGCACGCCGUAGGAUCCUUUGUAGACGACUUGAUUGGACGUGGUAUUGUAAGCAUGAGAGUAGUCUUUGCACUCCGAUCUGCUGAGAUUUGGCCUCUGUUCC
RNAcentral lists this ribosomal RNA (425 nucleotides) under Oxyrrhis marina. RNAcentral describes it as "partial Eukaryotic large subunit ribosomal RNA". It matches the Rfam family "Eukaryotic large subunit ribosomal RNA", at positions 2945 to 3391 of the family's 3401-position model. The record is from RNAcentral. Lineage: Eukaryota; Dinophyceae; Oxyrrhinales; Oxyrrhinaceae.